GACGAACGCUGGCGGCGUGCUUAACACAUGCAAGUCGAACGGAAAGGCCCUGCUUUUGUGGGGUGCUCGAGUGGCGAACGGGUGAGUAACACGUGAGUAACCUGCCCUUGACUUUGGGAUAACUUCAGGAAACUGGGGCUAAUACCGGAUAGGAGCUCCUGCUGCAUGGUGGGGGUUGGAAAGUUUCGGUGGUUGGGGAUGGACUCGCGGCUUAUCGGCUUGUUGGUGGGGUAGUGGCUUACCAAGGCUUUGACGGGUAGCCGGCCUGAGAGGGGGACCGGCCACAUUGGGACUGAGAUACGGCCCAGACUCCUACGGGAGGCAGCAGUGGGGAAUAUUGCACAAUGGGAGGAAGCCUGAUGCAGCAACGCCGCGUGCGGGAUGACGGCCUUCGGGUUGUAAACCGAUUUCGCCUGUGACGAAGCGUGAGUGACGGUAAUGGGUAAAGAAGCACCGGCUAACUACGUG
RNAcentral lists this ribosomal RNA (468 nucleotides) under uncultured bacterium. RNAcentral describes it as "partial 16S ribosomal RNA". It matches the Rfam family "Bacterial small subunit ribosomal RNA", at positions 28 to 507 of the family's 1533-position model. The record is from RNAcentral.